This 99-nucleotide small RNA is filed under the name Methylobacillus sp. MM3. RNAcentral's name for it is "Methylobacillus sp. MM2 Methylophilales-1 RNA". It matches the Rfam family "Methylophilales-1 RNA". From Rfam's summary of the family: Methylophilales, lake sediment metagenome. Environment (Lake Washington) The record is from Rfam by way of RNAcentral. Lineage: Bacteria; Pseudomonadati; Pseudomonadota; Betaproteobacteria; Nitrosomonadales; Methylophilaceae.
GGUUAGUGCAGCGAAUAAGGCAGUAAGCCCGGCAUGCCGGGCCGAUGAGCCGUCAUUGACCUAGUGUGACUCUGCCGAUAUAGAUUAGGCGCACUAACA